GGGACAGAGAGUGCAGUGCAUUUAAUUUCCUGUCUAUCGUGAUUCGUGAGGCAGCAGAGAGAAUGAGUCUCUAGAAAGUGGAAGUCAAAUGACAAAUAGGAAGUGGAUCGAACGUUUUUAGUGGAAGCAGUAUUUAAAGUGAAAAUUUAAAUUUGGUACCACUUUCUGCAUGCAACCCUUCCUCUUCAUCUUCCAGAAACUCCAUUGUUCCUCCUUCUCUCUAAAACCUUAGAACUUCUCACUAGAUUUCUGAUCAUCAUCUUGCUCCGAUCAUAUACCUCCUUUUAGAUUGAUUCUUUCCAGAGACAAGAGCUUCCAUUUGUACCAAUCAGAUUUAUGU
RNAcentral lists this long non-coding RNA (340 nucleotides) under Vigna radiata. RNAcentral describes it as "long non-coding RNA (VRAD_LNC009102)". Lineage: Eukaryota; Viridiplantae; Streptophyta; Magnoliopsida; Fabales; Fabaceae. The record is from RNAcentral.